RNAcentral lists this ribosomal RNA (528 nucleotides) under Neotoma albigula (white-throated woodrat). RNAcentral describes it as "partial 12S ribosomal RNA". It matches the Rfam family "Bacterial small subunit ribosomal RNA", at positions 768 to 1515 of the family's 1533-position model. Lineage: Eukaryota; Metazoa; Chordata; Mammalia; Rodentia; Cricetidae. The record is from RNAcentral.
UAAACUGGGAUUAGAUACCCCACUAUGCUUAGCCCUAAACCCUAAUAAUUAUAUAACAAAAUUAUUUGCCCGAGAACUACUGGCUACAGCUUAAAACUCAAAGGACUUGGCGGUACUUUAUAUCCAUCUAGAGGAGCCUGUUCUAUAAUCGAUAAACCCCGUUAUACCUUACCAUUCCUUGCUAAUUCAGCCUAUAUACCGCCAUCUUCAGCAAACCUUAAAAAAGAACAACAGUAAGCAAGAGAAUUACCAUAAAAACGUUAGGUCAAGGUGUAGCCUAUGGAAUGGGAAGUAAUGGGCUACAUUUUCUAAAUAAGAACAUUACGAAACCCUUUAUGAAAUUUAAAGGACAAAGGUGGAUUUAGUAGUAAAUUAAGAAUAGAGUGCUUAAUUGAAUAGCGCAAUGAAGUACGUACACACCGCCCGUCACCCUCCUCAAAUUAAAUGAAUAUGAUACAAAUACAUAAUACAAUCUACAAGUUUAUGAGAGGAGAUAAGUCGUAACAAGGUAAGCAUACUGGAAAGUGA